CCUACGGGAGGCAGCAGUGAGGAAUAUUGGUCAAUGGGCGCGAGCCUGAACCAGCCAAGUCGCGUGAGGGAAGACGGUCCUAUGGAUUGUACACCUCUUUUGUCGGGGAGCAAAAGACGCCACGCGUGGCGUUCCGAGAGUACCCGAAGAAAAAGCAUCGGCUAACUCCGUGCCAGCAGUCGCGGUAAUACGGAGGAUGCGAGCGUUAUCCGGAUUGAUUGGGUUUAAAGGGUGCGCAGGCGGAAGAUCAAGUCAGCGGUAAAAUUGAGAGGCUCAACCUCUUCGAGCCGUUGAAACUGGUUUUCUUGAGUGAGUGAGAAGUAUGCGGAUUGCGUGGUGUAGCGGUGAAAUGCAUAGAUAUCACGCAGAACUCCGAUUGCGAAGGCAGCAUACCGGCGCUCAACUGACGCUCAUGCACGAAAGUGUGGGUAUCGAACAGGAUUAGAUACCCAGUAGUC
This 458-nucleotide ribosomal RNA is filed under the name uncultured bacterium. Its description in RNAcentral is "partial 16S ribosomal RNA". It matches the Rfam family "Bacterial small subunit ribosomal RNA", at positions 338 to 795 of the family's 1533-position model. The record is from RNAcentral.